Non-coding RNA from Heterocephalus glaber (naked mole-rat), 1697 nucleotides. The record is from RefSeq and is a predicted model, not a curated record. Lineage: Eukaryota; Metazoa; Chordata; Mammalia; Rodentia; Bathyergidae.
AGAGGUGAUUAUGUUACAGUAGGGUCACCAGGAUGGGCCUUGAUCCAGGCUGACUGGGUCCUUGUGAGAAGGGGAGAUCAGCGCACACACACACACACACACACACACACACACACACACACACACACAGAGGGACAACCACAUGAGAGCACAGAGAAGAUAACCAUCCACAUGGCAAAGAGAGAAGCCAGGAGGAGCCAGUCCUGCCUGCAAAGGACCUCGGAUUCCAGGCUCCAGAGCUGUGAGAAGAUUCUUUUCCUGGUUUGGGCCCUGUCUGUGGCAUUUGUUACUGUGAGCAAGAGGACAAUGUGCCCUGGACAACAGGCCCCAGCAAGAUGCAGAGCAGUGUUGCCCAGGAUGGAGGAGGGUGGGGAAGGUUGGCAGGGGAACCCUGAACAGGAGAGGCUGAGUGGUGGGUGGAGUCCUGGAGCAGGCCUGGUGGAUUCCAUAGGUAUUUGCUGUCUGACCACACCCCCAGGAUGACACAUGCAGCAGUUAGGAGUGACUGAGGAACCUGGCACUCCACCUGCCAGCUAUAAAGACCCAUACACAGGGCUCCAUGUGCCCUGCCCGCCUAUCACCUGGCCCAGCCAUGAGGACUCCCCUGCUGUGGCUGCCUCUGCUCCUGCUCGUGUGGCCAGGGCAGGCACUGCAGUGUCAUGAGUGCACUGCUACAAAGGAUUGUUUCCAGCCUGUGUCUUGCGGAGCCCAAAUCCGCUACUGCCUGACCACAUGGAACAAUGGAUCACUUCUUUAUGGAACUUCUGCCUUCAGGGCUUGCUCAGGCCCAAUCGUGUAUAAUAUGAUUUCCUUUUGAUGAUAGAGAGUUUCUUUUUUUUUUUUUCCUUUGUUUUUCCUUUUUUGAUGAUGGAGGAUUUCUGUGCACAGCAACUUUGUUUGGUAGGUCAGAUAAUAUCCAGUCCAUGAUGGGUAGCUCAGAUCACAUGAUAAACCAGUGAAUCAUGCUUAAGCACUGAGAAUUAACUGAGGUCUAGUAGCAGGCCAAGAGCUCUCUUAAAAUGAGAGUAGCUAUCUGUGACAUUAGCAGGGUCUUGCUCCAAAAUCCCAAAGGCCUGCAACUGCAACUCGCCUGUAGAGGCCUGCGAAAGGCUCUCCUGCACCCCUAACUGCCACUGAUACUUCAAGCACCACUGAGUCUGCUGGAUCUCAAAGCACAUGUGGCUGAGCAGCUUGCACAGCAGUCUCAACCAGUGCAAACCCUCCUUUUUAUCUAGGCCCAUCUCAAAAUACUAGCAAAUAUUUGAGUCAUUUGGUAAAUGGGCUAGAGUAACAUAUCCAAAUAUGCAUUUGUUGCCUCUAAAACUCCAGAGUCUACCAGGUGCCAUCUUUGUUGUAGGAACAGUUAAUACUUUUAAAACCUCUUCAAGUAUUUAUCUUUACUUUAGAAGAGAUAUCUCAACAUGCCCCACUAAUUUCACUGAGGUAAAAGGCCCCUGAAUUUAAUCAGAUUUCCUACUUCGUACCAGUAAGUUCAGAAAGUGAUCAAGAUCCCUGCAGACUAUAAUAUGACAUAGGCUACAGAGUAGAUAUUACCUAGGUAGGACAGUGAAGGUAUAUUGCUGGGCCUUUAUGGGCAGGUGUGAAGAAAGAGGCAUUUAUCAGAUCAUAACAGGCACCAAGAGAUGUGCUAAUUUGCUCCAUGAAACCACAUCUGUUACACCAGAUGCAACUGGAGU